CAUCCGGUCGCACAUGGUGUGCAUCUGCCCAUUCUCAAAGCCUUGAAGGUGUGCCAGUGAAGGUUGCAGAAGGCCCCCGUUCGACUCGGGGUCGGAUGA
Molecule: non-coding RNA, 99 nt
Organism: Mycena rosella
Lineage: Eukaryota; Fungi; Basidiomycota; Agaricomycetes; Agaricales; Mycenaceae
Source: the annotation of a GenBank genome assembly